ACUCAAAGGAAUUGACGGGGACCCGCACAAGCAGCGGAGCAUGUGGUUUAAUUCGAAGCAACGCGAAAAACCUUACCAAGGCUUGACAUCGCCUGCAUAGCAUAGAGAUAUGUGAAGUUCUAGCAAUAGAACAGGUAGACAGGUGGUGCAUGGUUGUCGUCAGCUCGUGUCGUGAGAUGUUGGGUUAAGUCCCGCAACGAGCGCAACCCUUAUGAAUAGUUGCCAAUAUUAAGUUAGGAACUCUAUUCAGACUGCCGUGGAUAACACGGAGGAAGGUGGGGAUGACGUCAAAUCAUCACGCCCCUUACGUCUUGGGCUACACACGUGCUACAAUGGCCGACACAAAGAGCAGCAAUACGGUAACGUGGAGCAAAUCUCAUAAAUUCGGUCUCAGUUCAGAUUGUGGGCUGCAACCCGCCCACAUGAAGUAGGAGUUGCUAGUAAUCGCGAAUCAGCACGUCGCGGUGAAUGCGUUCCCGGGUCUUGUACACACCGCCCGU
RNAcentral lists this ribosomal RNA (500 nucleotides) under uncultured bacterium. RNAcentral's name for it is "bacterial SSU rRNA". It matches the Rfam family "Bacterial small subunit ribosomal RNA", at positions 899 to 1397 of the family's 1533-position model. The record is from RNAcentral.